CCCUUAGAUGUUCUGGGCCGCACGCGUGCUACACUGAAGGAAUCAGCACGUCUUUCUCCUUGUCCGAAAGGACUGGGUAACCCGCUGAACCUCCUUCGUGCUAGGGAUUGGGGCUUGUAAUUCUUCCCCAUGAACGAGGAAUUCCCAGUAAGCGCGAGUCAUAAGCUCGCGUUGAUUACGUCCCUGCCCUUUGUACACACCGCCCGUCGCUACUACCGAUUGGAUGGUUUAGUGAGAUCCUCGGAUUGGUCCCGGCGCGGCCUCUGGUCGUGCCGGAGUGCCGAAAAGAAUGUCGAACUUGAUCAUCUAGAGGAAGUAAAAGUCGUAACA
RNAcentral lists this ribosomal RNA (330 nucleotides) under uncultured eukaryote. RNAcentral's name for it is "partial 18S ribosomal RNA". It matches the Rfam family "Eukaryotic small subunit ribosomal RNA", at positions 1470 to 1796 of the family's 1831-position model. The record is from RNAcentral.